CUUAAAAUGGCGGAUCGACUCACACAUGCACUAAUAGAGAUAGUGCUUUCUGAUCUAAUUGCAAAUUUCUGCAAUGAAAAAAUUGACGACGAAACGGUAUCAAAACUUAACGACACCGAACUAAACCGUCUCGGGUUGAAUGCGAUUGGAGAUAGACACAGAUUUCGUGAACAACUACGAACUGACACAGCCAUGUGCAUUUCAGACGAUGGCCCAGAUGUGUUUGGAAGGCCUACAUCACACUCACAAUGGUUAAGCGAAUGCCAUCAAUGGAGUUCCUGUUGCAUGCAACAAGUGUGACGCUAACAGUGAAGAAAUUAACAACCAUUUUGAAGCCUGUGUUCAGUGAAAAUGGCUCAAAUAAACAUGUUGAAGAAAAGACAGUGUAUGGAAAAUUUGUUAAGUAUUAAAGAGAAGUUGCCAGUGGUAGACGUGAAGGAAUAUCUCUAAACAAUUUGCUGUCUUUUGCCACUGGUGUUGCAGAUGAGCCAGUGUUAGGUUUUUCCAUGGAGCCUUCAAUAAUAUUCUCAGAGAACGAGUUUUUAAUCCCUACAGCACAAACUUGUAUUAACAUACUAAUUUUACAAACACCAACGCAGACCAUGAUACUGACUGAAGAUAACACAUUGUUUGACUUGUAUGACUUAGCUUUUGCAAACGAGUUUUUUUGGUUUAAAAUAGUGUUUAAUCAUACAUAAUAUUGAUGUGAACUUUCCGUAUAGUUUGCUCUUUGUGAUGCAACUACUGCCUUUAUGUGUUGUCUGGUAUUUUCAUGAAUCUCUUUACAGUAUUUCCAAACAAUGAGUGAACUUAAAUGAAAAAUAACUGAUACACUACAACACAGCUCAUAUUAAGUUCAAUUGAAGCCUCUUUGAAGUUGUAACUUUAACUUUAUGUUGUAGAAUGGUUAUGAAAUGAAUGCAAUGGGUCUUAGUUUAGUGUAAUAUGAAGAUUAAUAUGUAAAUGUUGGGCAUUUAUAUGCAUAGUUAGAUCACUGCAAAGACCUUAGGCCUUAAGAUUAAUUACAUCUAUGCAACAACGCUGAUCUAAUUGUUUACAUUCUAUUACUUCCAAUUGAUACACAAUAUCUGCAAUAUCGGACAAUUCUGCUAUUGAUAAUGGCACAUAUAGUUUGCACUUCAGUUCACUUUUGCAUUUAUUACAUAAACACCAUCCUGGUGCAGAUAGAACUGGAAGUGUCAAUGACAGUAUCUGAUGUUUGCAUUGUUAUAGGGAAAGAAAAACAACAGAUGCUCAAAAUGUAUAGAACAUCCGCGGUUAUCAGAGUUGUACUCCCUUUUUCUUGUGACCAUGGUAACAACUAAUAAUUGUUUGCCAAGUGUAUAAAAUGUACUAUAAUAAUAGUCAUUUAAUUGUUUACAAAUGAGUUGUUACAUCUAAAUAAUUAUGUAAAUAGAUUUAACCAGUAAUAGUUAACACCUGCACUUGUACCUACCAACUUUAUGUAUCGGCAAAUAGAAAUCUGUGUAAAAAGACAAUAUGCUGUGUAAUUUGGUAAAUAGAGUUUAAACAUGGGUGUUUAAAAAAACAACAUCUUUUUUUACCAGUGCAUUGAAUUUAAAUAAAUUUGGUAAAAGGAAAUUUAAUUUAAAUUACUGGUAAUUUGUUUCAAUUUCUCAGAAGGUUAUACUUUAAAAAAAUAAUGAGGGGGGGGGAGUAUUUUUUGGAUUCUAAUAAUUGCAAAAUUGUAAUUUGCAAUCAGGCUAACCGGUAAGUCCCUGUAAGCUACAAUAACACCCGUAGGUUGAAAGUUAUAGUCUUAAUUAAGAGAUGGAAGGGCUUUGGUGACAUGUUCUCUGUGUGCACCAUUUAUUUUUUGUUGUUCAACUCUUGUGUUCAUUUGUUGUUGUUAUUCGUUCAUGUUAGACUUUUACAAAACCUAAUAAUGCAACUGGAUAUAAAAAUGUUAAGUGAUAUUAUAAUCAACACCUGAGCAUUGCUCAAAAUGACUUAAAAGGAAUAUGCAUUUCAAGCAAAUUUCUUAUUUUGGGGGAAAAGCAUUUUUACACAUUCUUAAAGGAUUAGCAUUGUCAAUUCAUAUCACUAUAUCUCCUGUUAAUGUUUUUUUGUGUUCACCUUAUCAUUUAAAAGAGAAGAUAUCAUUGUGCAGAUGUCUUUAAGAAUGUGUUAUGCUGCAUUUCUUUUGUGGCUUGUUGCCAUCCUUGAUAUAUAAUGCUUUUGAUAACAUUUGUACUAUUGUUUUGUCAAAUAAGGCUUACAAAUUGUGAUGCAUUUUGUAACUGCUAAAACAUUGACUCAGCUUUAUGUCUGUGCCAAGCAGUCUUGAUAGAUGAGGUAUAUUUUUAAUGUCCUAAAGUUGUCAGGUAGUGCUGGUAUGAAAACUUUUUCUACCAAAUCAAACUUUUGAGUUUAAAUAGACAAAUUGUUAGGAAAGACUGGCAGUGAUUUCAUUUCAAUAUUUCACUAUUUUGAUAAUUCACAAUAUCACCACUUCAUGAUUUAACUUUUUUAAAAGUUUAAUCCAUAUUUUUCUAGAUUUCAGAAUCUCUUCAUUUAUGCGAGUGUUUGUUCUGACCAGGAUUUGUCUGUCUUUUUGUCUGUUGGUCUGAAGCAAACCUUUAACAUCGGCAAUGAUUUUUAAAGUACUUAAGAUAGUUUCAUAGGAACUUUAUAUUUGAUGUACAUGUUCUUUGUGUUGAGCCCUUUUAAAUGAAAUCAUGGUUAACACUACUGAAUGCAAAUCAGAAUCAUUACCAUUUGUUUAAAAAAAUGAAACCGGAUAUAAUUUAUUAACCAUUUAGAUCUUUGAAACAAUUUCAUGUAACAAUACCUUAUCUUAAUUUUGAAGUUAUUGUCCUAUGAUUAAUGUCAAAAAGUGGCGAGGGGCAUAGGGUUUUACAAACACAUCGUGUUUGCUUUUUAAGAGACACAUCUGUUCAAAUAAAUGAAUACUAGUAACAGGUAUGUAUCUUUUUCUCAAAUUGCAAAUUUUCCUGAUACAUAAUUGUGCAGUGAUCUUUUGAAAAAAAGACACAUUGAAGUAAUUGAUUGUGUACACUAUUAAACAUUUAAUACAUUUUAAAUCUGAAACCAAACAUAAGAAGGGUAUUUGUAUGUUUGUUUAUCUGCACCAAUAGAUACAAAGAGUGUUAAUCACUUACUUCCAUGUGUACAUAUUUACAUCACGAUUCAACAAACUUAAAAAUGCAUCUUGUAAGGAACAAGAGGCAUAUACAAAAGCAGGUUUCAGGACACAAGUUUUCAUGUUAAACAGAUCGUGUACUGAAAAAUGUUGACACUUAUUCAUUUGAUAAAAGUUACAUGUUUUAGUUCGAGUUAUUUACUAUUUUGAAAUAAAGUUCUUAAAUCAU
Dreissena polymorpha is the source of this 3353-nucleotide long non-coding RNA. RefSeq lists it as uncharacterized. The transcript is spliced from 2 exons. The record is from RefSeq and is a predicted model, not a curated record. NCBI's taxonomy places the organism in Eukaryota, Metazoa, Mollusca, Bivalvia, Myida, Dreissenidae.